Peromyscus maniculatus bairdii (prairie deer mouse) is the source of this 126-nucleotide non-coding RNA. The record is from RefSeq and is a predicted model, not a curated record. Lineage: Eukaryota; Metazoa; Chordata; Mammalia; Rodentia; Cricetidae.
AAAAAGACAAGGGGAAAUGCUAUGGGAUGUUCUCUAAGCUGUGAAUGUGUUGCUCUGAUUGGUUAAUAAAUAAAGUGCUGAUUGGCCAGAAGCCAGGCAAGAAGUAUAGGUGGGACAAAGGGAGAG